UACGAAGGGAGCUAGCGUUGUUCGGAAUCACUGGGCGUAAAGCGCACGUAGGCGGAUGUGUCAGUCAGGGGUGAAAUCCCGGAGCUCAACUUCGGAACUGCCUUUGAUACAGCACAUCUGGAGUCCGGAAGAGGUGGGUGGAAUUCCUAGUGUAGAGGUGAAAUUCGUAGAUAUUAGGAAGAACACCGGUGGCGAAGGCGGCCCACUGGUCCGGUACUGACGCUGAGGUGCGAAAGCUAGGGUAGCAAACGGG
This 253-nucleotide ribosomal RNA is filed under the name uncultured bacterium. RNAcentral's name for it is "partial 16S ribosomal RNA". It matches the Rfam family "Bacterial small subunit ribosomal RNA", at positions 524 to 776 of the family's 1533-position model. The record is from RNAcentral.